UUACAAUGCACGAAAGUGUGAUAGGGGGAUACUCAGUGCUUACGGUUAUGCUGUAGGCUUUUGUCGAUCGUAAAUAGAUCGGCGAAGAAGUGGUGGGAAAGACUGGUGCCAGCCGCCGCGGUAACCCCAGCGCCACAAGUGGUUAUCACGAUUAUUGGGCCUAAAGCGUUCGUAGCUGGUUUGGUAAAUCUCUUGUGAAAUUGUUCGGCUUAACCGGACAGCGUGCAGGAGACACUGCCAAACUCGAGACCGGGAGGCGUGUGAAGUAUGCCGUGGGGACUGGUAAAAUGGGAUAAUCCACGGUAGACUACCGAUGGCGAAGGCAUCACACGAGAACGGAUCUGACAGUGAGGAACGAAAGCCAGGGGAGCGAACCGG
Molecule: ribosomal RNA, 378 nt
Filed under: uncultured archaeon
Lineage: Archaea
Description: bacterial SSU rRNA
Rfam family: Archaeal small subunit ribosomal RNA
Source: RNAcentral